AGUUUUUAACUCAGCAGCAAAUGAAGAUUUUACAGAUGGCUAUAGUGGAUCAUGAAACCAAGCUUGAAAAUGCGAAAGAUAUGUGUGACACAUUUUUGAAGAAAGCCAACGACUUGAGUAAACAUCGCAAAACCUUUAUUGGUGGUCAGCAAACUAAUGUGGAGAAGGAAAUCUCCAAGGUGCAGGACAGAGUUAUCAUGGAAACUCAAGAACAAGAUGUAUCCGUUGUUGAAACAUACCUUCAGUCCCUGAUCCUUGACCGCUCUGAAGAAACCAUCUGAAGCUCGCACAUAGGAUGCACAGGGAAGGGAGAUUAGCCACGCUAAGAAGACAUUAGUAGUAGUCAGUGCAGCUCCUUUCUCUUUACCCCGUUUGUUACAAUUGAGACUGAGACUGUUAACCAUUAAGUGAACCCCCAGCAGUUCUGUGAGUAGCAACAGACAGUUAAGUGUGGAACGUCCAGGCCCAUGACAGCAAGGGAGAUAGAUACAUUCUGCCCAGUAGUGGCAGUUACAUUUUGGAAGCAAACGUCAUUUGAUUUUGUGGUUGGUUCUCUGUCACUUCCCCAAAGUGAAUGUUACCUUACUUAUUUUAGGAAGAAGUGAAUAAAGAUGGGACCCGU
Long non-coding RNA from Grammomys surdaster, 622 nucleotides. RefSeq lists it as uncharacterized. NCBI's taxonomy places the organism in Eukaryota, Metazoa, Chordata, Mammalia, Rodentia, Muridae. The transcript is spliced from 3 exons. The record is from RefSeq and is a predicted model, not a curated record.